This 777-nucleotide ribosomal RNA is filed under the name Triticum aestivum (bread wheat). Its description in RNAcentral is "partial small subunit ribosomal RNA". Lineage: Eukaryota; Viridiplantae; Streptophyta; Magnoliopsida; Poales; Poaceae. The record is from RNAcentral.
AUGUACAGAAAGGAUAAUCGGCCGGUUGCUUGUGUUUACUCCUCGGAGGCUGGUGUGUGGGGCAAUCUUAUUUCCACAGACGCUCGAUGCGGGCUUGUUGAUGCUAAUCCCGGGAUUCUUGUUGGUAAUGUCCUUUACUGGUCGUCUAAGUCUGUGUGUGACGGUGAAGGUUUGUGGGGUUUAGAUAGGCUCACAAAUGAUAUAAUUGAGUUUGAUUUGGAUACACAUAGCCUAGCUGUGAUCAAGGGGCCUCCCUGUCUCAAUAACUCACUCAGACAUCAGAUCAUCAAGGCAGACGAUGGUUCUGUUGGUCUCACCGUGGUGUUUUAUGGUAGAUUUGAAAUGUGGCAGAGGAAGAUUGAUCGUCAUGGUGUUGCCACAUGGUUAAAUCACAAGAGCAUUCAAAUGCAUCUUGUUCUUGGGCUCUCUCAUCAGCUUGAGAGAUUGACGAGAUGGAUACAAAUUAUGGGGUAUGAUGAGGAUAAUGGUGUAAUAUUUUUACAUGUGGAUGCCAGUGUCUACAUGGUUCAACUGAUGUCGAUGCAAUCCAAGAAACUUUAUCGAAGCUAUACUCCCAAUUAUAGAUGUCACCCUUUCACAAGUUUCUAUGCGCCAGGAACGGUCUGCGCAUUUAAAAAUUAUGUGGCUUUGUUUAUUAUUCCAUUCCUGGUGGAUGCAAUGGAGCUGAGAUGUUGCACGAUAUGUAGGAUGACUGUCUGGUUGCAUGUGAUAAUGUGCUCGAAUGGUUCAACAGGUAACAAGAUCUUCGAGAUAUAG